Long non-coding RNA from Mauremys mutica (yellowpond turtle), 422 nucleotides. RefSeq lists it as uncharacterized. The transcript has 3 exons. NCBI's taxonomy places the organism in Eukaryota, Metazoa, Chordata, Testudines, Geoemydidae. The record is from RefSeq and is a predicted model, not a curated record.
AGUGAUGGACGUGGACAAUAUGCAAACAACACCAACCAGGAACUAAACCCAUGGCGGAGGAUUUACAGAGUGAGGGCCACAUGCUGAAUUGGUUGUGAUGAGGCAGCGGGAACAGGGAGUAGGAAUCAUCCUCACUUAACCCCUUGUUUGCAGUUCAUGGGACACCAAAUACAGCUCCACUGGCCACCUACUUCUUCAUUUCAUUUAAUCUCAUCUCUCUCUGUUUCUCCCCUGGGCCAAUGCUGCCUUCAGUACAAAGGCCCCUGGAAUAGUUUCCCUUCGAGGCUGCUAUCACAGAUUUGCCACCAAGAAGGUAUCAGAAGUGAUUGAAGAACUUGACAGGAAUGCGAGAAGUGCCAUCAGCACAUGGGAUGUGGAACCCCAAACUUCUUCUUAUGUAUUUGGCUCCUUUGUUCACAAGU